Molecule: non-coding RNA, 29 nt
Filed under: Mus musculus (house mouse)
Lineage: Eukaryota; Metazoa; Chordata; Mammalia; Rodentia; Muridae
Source: RNAcentral
UCUCAAAUUAUUUUCUUCAAAGGGUGUGG